This 249-nucleotide ribosomal RNA is filed under the name uncultured bacterium. Its description in RNAcentral is "partial 16S ribosomal RNA". It matches the Rfam family "Bacterial small subunit ribosomal RNA", at positions 524 to 776 of the family's 1533-position model. The record is from RNAcentral.
UACAGAGGGGCAAGCGUUAUUCGGAAUUAUUGGGCGUAAAGGGCGCGUAGGCGGCAUGGCAAGUGGAUGGUGAAAUCCCUCGGCUUAACCGAGGAACUGCCGUCCAAACUGCUUCGCUUGAGACCGGGAGAGGUGAGUGGAAUUCCCAGUGUAGCGGUGAAAUGCGUAGAUAUUGGGAGGAACACCAGUGGCGAAGGCGGCUCACUGGACCGGUACUGACGCUGAUGCGCGAAGCGUGGGAGCAACGGG